UUAUAGUUUUCUUGUUUUUUUCACAGUGUGCAAUGAUUUUUGGAAGCUUUUAUGUGGUCUUCUCAAGUUGCAAAAAUCACAAGUAAUUUAUGAUUCUCUUUUCAGAGGUAUUGUGGCUAGAAAACAAAUUAAACAUGGGAGAGUCUCUGCUGGUGGCAGCUAUCCUUCUGAACUUGUUAGAAGCCUAUCAAGGGCUCACCUAAAGAUAGAAUCAAAAUGCUUGCUAAGCUGUCAACACUGUGUCAAAUUUAAUAACAUGAUGUCCCUCUUUUCUGGAUGCCUGAGCUUCUGCCAUUGGAGUUUAUUUCCGUUCCUGAGUUUGUUUUGCUUUGACCGAAGAAACCUGCUUUAACCAGAGAAGACCAGUCUGUAGUAGAGGAAUUUAUCAUUCAACCAAAUCAAUGAGUAGAUUAGAUUUCUAAUAUGGAAGUUCUGUGAAGAAUUUGAAUAGGUCAGGAUUACAAGGCAGUGAGACUAUUCUUAAAGAAUAAAGAGAGGGAGGAAAGACACUUGGUGAAACUGACAUCGAGCUGUUCCAUAUUUAUAGUUCACUGGCAACUUCCAUAUCAAAUUUUCUCAAUUUCCAAGUCUGAACAAGAUUUUCCAAACUGUCAGCACUGCUGAACAACCUGGUUUCUAGAAAUCAUGAGGUGUUCUGCUUCCUUCUUCAGCUAUCUUCAGCAAUAAAGAUGCUGGGUUGAGAACUUUGCUGAAAUAAUGCUGCAUUCAUUUUGCAGUAUUUGGGCUUAUGUCCAUAGAUUUAUAUUAGUAAGUUAGCAAGGGAUGUCGUGGAGAACCUACUGGAAGCAAAUCUGUUGAGUAACAAAAUGCCAGCUUGCUAUACACCUUUUGUGAUGAAUAACUACUCUUUGAGGUGACUCAUUUUGAGAACAUUCUGGAGUUAUUUCACAAUCAGAGGUGGCUAAAGAGUCUAACAGAAUAGAUUCCUCUUCCACCUCCCACAACCCCUACAUCCCACUCACUUUUUGCCAUCUUUUGAAAUACUGUCCCUUCUUCCAUAUUCCCUUACAAGUUUCUUCAAUCCCACUAUAUUUACAUCAUGCUAACUUCUUCCUUCGUAGAAAAAGUGGUCAAUCACAGUGACUCUGAGAGUGAGUGGCCUUCCUCCUCAAUGUAACACACUGAUCCAUUUAGUAAAAUUCUAUGGAUUCCAUUUUAUUUGGGGAGGACUGGGCGAAUAAAUAAGAAAUCUGUAACCUUCAGGAUCCACCUAUAAAUGAGGAAUGAAAGUCAUAAUAAAAACAGAAAAAAGAGAGGCAGGGAGAAACACUUGUCCUUGAAAGGAUACGUCCUCUUUUUCAGGUCAGUACCCCCU
This 1336-nucleotide long non-coding RNA is filed under the name Ornithorhynchus anatinus (platypus). RNAcentral describes it as "lncRNA (ENSOANG00000043613.1)". Lineage: Eukaryota; Metazoa; Chordata; Mammalia; Monotremata; Ornithorhynchidae. The record is from RNAcentral.